CGUCAAGGUACUCCGUAGGUGAACCUGCGGGGGGGAUCAUCUA
RNAcentral lists this ribosomal RNA (43 nucleotides) under Alternaria sp. Utah 1. Its description in RNAcentral is "partial 18S ribosomal RNA". Lineage: Eukaryota; Fungi; Ascomycota; Dothideomycetes; Pleosporales; Pleosporaceae. The record is from RNAcentral.